GGCAGCUUAAGCCUGACAAAACUCUGUCCUCAGUGAUCUGUCCUCACCGAUCUAUGAAGAUAGUCAUGGAGAUGAGGGGAAGGAAUGGCAAGAGAGUUUUAUGGUAGAGAAUGGGCCUAACGAGUCUGGGUGGAGACAUUAGAAUGAGGAAGUAGCGAAGUAGGAAGACGGAAAGGCCACCAUAUGAGGCUUGAUUGCCAAACCAAACCACCAUAUUCCUAGAGAAAGAACCCAGAGAAAUCAAAGCCUAUGCACCUAGAAGCUUCAACUUACUGGCUAGCUUUUGUAAUACUGGAAAGUGCUAUGCAUGCCACCAGAGGAGAAAAGUAAUCACUACUCUUACCUAGCUGUGAAGUCUGCAAGCUACAACAAUGACCGGCCUUGCAAGACAAGUCUACUAGUGCAAUAGUGCUAUGAAUGUUGUGGGAAUGACUAAUCACUUAUUGAUUAGAGGUACGUUAUACUUCAGGACCAUGCAGGAGAUGUCUGUGUAACCUAUGUUUCCUGCUGAUUGGCCCUUUUCAGAGAGACUUGUGCAGCACAUUUCUUGUGAUGUAGUAGUGUUGCUAUGAGAGGGCUGAUUCUGCCACUCCUCGUUCAGAAGAAAUGUCCUGAAGAUUCUGGGUAAAGAUAGCUGAGUUAGGUUCCUCAAGCAAAAAUUUAUGGUAAUAUUUGUUAUGGCUUAACCUUUAAAAUUAUAACCAAAAGUGAAAUUCUGCAGGAUUUUAAUUGUUGUGUCUUCUAAAUUAUUGAUUCUUAGCUAAAAAAUACUUUCAGAGUUAUAUUGUAUUUUUCCUAGACUAUAAAUAAUGCAUGUUUAUAGUGUACAAAUAAGACAAAAAGAUAAACUAAAUUCAAAAUCACUCAUAAUUGUACCACCUGCAGAUAAUUUUAUUAAUAUUUCAGUCUUUGAUGCUUAUGAUAUGGCCUCAUUAGUAUAUUUAAAUAAUUGAUAUGACAAUACUAUUAAUGAAUUAAAAUUUAUCACUUUCCUCUAGAUUGUAAACUGUGAUGUAUCAUGCUAUAACUUAUUUAGUAAGCCAUAUAUCUUUCAUCCUUUGUAUGCCUUCAACAAGGAUUAGCCAUGAAAAUGAUAAACACCAGAGUGUAAAGUGUUUCAUUACAGGGGGUCUUAAUUUUUUGUUUUAUUACUCCCUAAAACUAUUUUGAAAAAUUUAUACCCCAUUACUAAUUUUAAGUCAACAUUUAAAUUUUUUAUCACGGGUUUCAUAGUUACAAAGCAUGACAUUUCCACAGUACUAAAAUAUUAACAUUUUAAAUUAAAACUGUUAACAGUGCUUUUAAAUAUAGCUAAAAGAAUUUAGCAUCAUAGCAAUCUGAUACACUUACUUAAAAAUAUAUAUGGCUGUUUUAGUCAGAAACUAUGCAUUGUUUCUUUUCCUUAGUGUUAUAUUUCCAUUUAUCACUAUUCUUUUUACUCUAAUGCAGUAUUUUUACAUUUGGAACUAUUGAGUUUUAAAGUAUUUAUUAAUCACACCUUUUUAUGCAGUCUUUGAAAACAGAUGUGAAUAUCAUAUGGCAUUGGAUAAUGAAUUUAUUUCCAAAAUUUAGGGGUUAAUUAUCUUAUGCAUUGAGUUAUGAUUAUAUUUAAUGGGCAGUUGGUUAUAUUAUCCUAAAUAUAUGCUCUUCUUAAAGUUCUAUCAAAUAUAUCAACAGUGGAAUUUUGUAGCCAAUACCCUCAUAUUCAAAGCAAACUGUAAGUUUAUAAUAUCAUUAGUAUUUUUGCAAGUGUUAGUGAAUAUAUUUUUCUUUUUCUUUUUUUGUUUGUUUGGUUUUGGUUUUUCAAGAUAGGAUUUCUCUGUGUAGCUCUGAUGAUCCUGGAACUUGCUCUGUAGACCAGGCUGGCCUCAAACCCACAGAGGUGUGUCUGCUUCUCAAGUUCUGGCUUUACAAUCAUGUGCCACCACUGUUCAGCUAACUUAAUUUUUUAAUAUUUUGUAAAACAAUAACAACCCAUCAACUUACCUCCAAUUUUCUCCUUUCUACUCAAACUUGAGAAAUAAAAACAGGUAAAGACAUUUUUUUUUGUUGUUUUUACUAUCUUGUAUCCUUGAAGUCAUUUUCUUUUUAAAAUCUAAACAGUGUCUUAACUAAAAGAGAUUUCACAGAUACCAAAAUUAAAUUCCCGUUGGCUAGCAUCCGGCCUGGAGAGUGUAGAGUUAGGAAGCCGAGCAUGAUAAGGGCUGUGGCUUCUGUUUGGUAAAAUGACGAAAGCAUUAGGCAAGGAGGACAAGAAAGUGCACAUGGUAUUGGGACACAGGCAGACACAUUCAUAGGUACAUAGGUACAUUAGUAGGACACAUAAUUUUUGACAAAUAAUCUGGAAAUUGAUUUUCUAAAAACUCUCAAUAUUUUCGUUUCCUAUGGUGCAUCUUCAAGAAUCCUCAAAGAUGUUGAAUCUUGUGUGGGGUACCAUUGAUGUACUGUUUAUUUAGCAAUUAAACAUCAAUCUAAAUACGCCUUUUAUGUGAUGAGUAUUAAACUAUACUUGUUAUUUUAAAAUCUUAUUUGUUUACUUGUUUGUUUCUUUAAUUUUGAGUGUGCCACAUGUGUGUGGAUACUCAAGGAUGAUGAAAG
Molecule: long non-coding RNA, 2598 nt
Filed under: Cricetulus griseus (Chinese hamster)
Lineage: Eukaryota; Metazoa; Chordata; Mammalia; Rodentia; Cricetidae
Description: lncRNA (ENSCGRG00015041349.1)
Source: RNAcentral